This 28-nucleotide non-coding RNA is filed under the name Mus musculus (house mouse). The record is from RNAcentral. Lineage: Eukaryota; Metazoa; Chordata; Mammalia; Rodentia; Muridae.
UCACCUAUUCCAUAAAGGAUUCAGAGCC